This 497-nucleotide ribosomal RNA is filed under the name uncultured bacterium. Its description in RNAcentral is "partial 16S ribosomal RNA". It matches the Rfam family "Bacterial small subunit ribosomal RNA", at positions 28 to 507 of the family's 1533-position model. The record is from RNAcentral.
GAUGAACGCUGGCGGCGUGCCUAAUACAUGCAAGUCGAGCGAACAGAUGAGGAGCUUGCUCCUCUGACGUUAGCGGCGGACGGGUGAGUAACACGUGGAUAACCUACCUAUAAGACUGGGAUAACUUCGGGAAACCGGAGCUAAUACCGGAUAAUAUAUUGAACCGCAUGGCUCAAUAGUGAAAGACGGUUUUGCUGUCACUUAUAGAUGGAUCCGCGCCGCAUUAGCUAGUUGGUAAGGUAACGGCUUACCAAGGCAACGAUGCGUAGCCGACCUGAGAGGGUGAUCGGCCACAAUGGAACUGAGACACGGUCCAGACUCCUACGGGGGGCAGCAGGAGGGAAUCUUCCGCAAUGGGCGAAAGCCUGACGGAGCAACGCCGGGUGAGGGAUGAAGGUCUUCGGAUCGUAAAACUCUGUUAUUAGGGAAAAACAAAUGUGUAAGUAACUAUGCACGUCUUGACGGUACCUAAUCAGAAAGCCACGGCUAACUACGUG